Non-coding RNA from Acanthosepion pharaonis, 111 nucleotides. NCBI's taxonomy places the organism in Eukaryota, Metazoa, Mollusca, Cephalopoda, Sepiida, Sepiidae. The record is from the annotation of a GenBank genome assembly.
UACAGCCAUACCAUGGAAACACUGGUUCUUGUAUAAACACUGAAGUUAAGCAAUGUUGCAUCUGGUUGGUACCUAGAUGGGUGACUGCUCGGGAAUACACGGUGCUGUAAG